GACGAACGCUGGCGGCGUGCUUAACACAUGCAAGUCGAACGGAAAGGCCCUGCUUUUGUGGGGUGCUCGAGUGGCGAACGGGUGAGUAACACGUGAGUAACCUGACCUUGACUUUGGGAUAACUUCAGGAAACUGGGGCUACUACCGGAUAGGAGCUCCUGCUGCAUGGUGGGGGUUGGAAAGUUUCGGCGGUUGGGGAUGGACUCGCGGCUUAUCAGCUUGUUGGUGGGGUAGUGGCUUACCAAGGCUUUGACGGGUCGCCGGCCUGAGAGGGUGACCGGCGACAUUGGGACUGAGAUACGGCCCAGACUCCUACGGGAGGCAGCAGUGGGGAAUAUUGCACAAUGGUCGGGAGCCUGAUGCAGCAACGCCGCGGGCGGGAUGACGGCCUUCGGGUUGUAAACCGCUUUCGCCUGUGACGAAGCGUGAGUGACGGUAAUGGGUAAAGAAGCACCGGCUAACUACGUG
This 468-nucleotide ribosomal RNA is filed under the name uncultured bacterium. Its description in RNAcentral is "partial 16S ribosomal RNA". It matches the Rfam family "Bacterial small subunit ribosomal RNA", at positions 28 to 507 of the family's 1533-position model. The record is from RNAcentral.